This is a long non-coding RNA of Dreissena polymorpha, 1520 nucleotides long. RefSeq lists it as uncharacterized. The record is from RefSeq and is a predicted model, not a curated record. NCBI's taxonomy places the organism in Eukaryota, Metazoa, Mollusca, Bivalvia, Myida, Dreissenidae. The transcript is spliced from 2 exons.
UAAUGUCUGUGAAGUGUCAGUGACUGUAGUGUGAAGAGUUUGUGUUUACCAUCAAUCAGAAGUGACCAGAUGCCAUAAUUAUUUACUUUUAGAUAUUUUAUAAUUGGAAGUUGUUUUGAGUUGUCUUAAUCUUGUUCUAUGUUUGAUUAUCCAGAUGAUGCAGUGAAUUAUGAUUCCAUCAUACUAUUCACAUUACCCACAGUUCGUGUUAGGUGCACGCUUUUUAAUUUCACUGGCUUAAAUUAUUCUGUUACAAUUGAUUGUUUGGAAUUAGCAAUUUCUAUCAGAGUUCUUAAGGUUAUUAACUGAUAAAAUGUGGUUAAAGCCGCUUUUUUUCCUGAAGUUUUUCGAAAAAGAUAAUUGCCAGGCUUGACUUCCAACUUGAGUUGGCCAAACAGGCAGCCAUUAAUUUGUAUUCCUGCCAUAACUUAUUUAUGCCCCCCUUCGAAGAAGGGGGGUAUAUUGCUUUGCUCAUGUCGGUCGGUCGGUAGGUCGGUCGGUCUGUCCGUCCACCAGGUGGAUGUCGUAUGAUAACUCAAGAACGCAUACGCCUAGGAUCAUGAAACUUCAUAGGUAGAUUGAUCAUGACUCGCAGAUGACCCCUAUUGAUUUUGAGGUCACUAGGUCAAAGGUCAAGGUCACGGUGACCGGAAAUAGUUAAAUGGUUUUCGGAUGAUAACUCAAGAACGCAUAAGCUUAGGAUCAUGAAACUUCAUAGUUAGAUUGAUCAUGACUCGCAGAUGACCCCUAUUGAUUUUGAGGUCACUAGGUCAAAGGUCAAGGUCACGGUGACCCAAAUAGUAAAAUGGUUUCCGGAUGAUAACUCAAGAACGCAUACGCCUAGGAUCAUGAAACUUCAUGGGUAGAUUGAUCAUGACUCACAGAUGACCCCUAUCAAUUUUGAGGUCACUAGGUCAAAGGUCAAGGUCACGGUGACCCGAAAUAGUAAAAUGGUUUCCGGAUGAUAACUCAAGAACGCAUACGCCUAGGAUCAUGAAACUUCAUAGGUAGAUUGAUCAUGACUUGCAGAUGACCCCUAUUGUUUUUGAGGUCACUAGGUCAAAGGUCAAGGUCACGGUGACCUGAAAUAGUAAAAUGGUUUUCGGAUGAUAACUCAAGAACGCUUUUGCCUAGGAUCAUGAAACUUCAUAGGUAGAUUGAUCAUGACUCGCAGAUGACCCCUAUUGAUUUUGAGGUCACAAGGUCAAAGGUCAAGGUCACGGUGACCCGAAAUAGUAAAAUGAUUCGGAUGAUAACUCAAGAACGCUUUUGCCUAGGAUCAUGACACUUCAUAGGUACAUUGAUCAUGACUCGCAGAUGACCCCUAUCGAUUUUCAGGUCACUAGGUCAAAGGUCAAGGUCACAGUGACAAAAAUCGUGCUCACACAAUGGCUGCCACUACAAAGGACAGCCCAUAUGGGGGGCAUGCAUGUUUUACAAACAGCCCUUGUUAUAAUAUUGUUUAAGUUCUCAUAUUUCACAAAAUUAUGUUUGUUUUGUAUAUUAAAUAUGUUACUCUA